CGCGGCCUAUCAGCUUGUUGGUGGGGUAAUGGCCUACCAAGGCGACGACGGGUAGCCGGCCUGAGAGGGCGACCGGCCACACUGGGACCGAGACACGGCCCAGACUCCUACGGGAGGCAGCAGCGGGGAAUAUUGCACAAUGGGCGAAAGCCUGAUGCAGCGACGCCGCGUGAGGGAUGACGGCCUUCGGGUUGUAAACCUCUUUCAGCAGGGACAAAGCGUAAGUGACGGUACCUGCAGAAGAAGCGCCGGCCAACUACGUGCCAGCAGCCGCGGUAAGACGUAGGGCGCGAGCGUUGUCCGGAUUUAUUGGGCGUAAAGAGCUCGUAGGCGGCCUGUCGCGUCGACUGUGAAAACCCGCAGCUCAACUGCGGGCCUGCAGUCGAUACGGGCAGGCUAGAGUUCGGUAGGGGAGACUGGAAUUCCUGGUGUAGCGGUGGAAUGCGCAGAUAUCAGGAGGAACACCGGUGGCGAAGGCGGGUCUCUGGGCCGAUACUGACGCUGAGGAGCGAAAGCGUGGGGAGCGAACAGGAUUAGAUACCCUGGUAGUCCACGCUGUAAACGUUGGGCGCUAGGUGUGGGGGACCUCUCCGGUUCUCUGUGCCGCAGCUAACGCAUUAAGCGCCCCGCCUGGGGAGUACGG
Molecule: ribosomal RNA, 643 nt
Filed under: uncultured bacterium
Lineage: Bacteria
Description: bacterial SSU rRNA
Rfam family: Bacterial small subunit ribosomal RNA
Source: RNAcentral